GAUGGGAAUCAAUUGUUCUCCAUGUCCAUUGGAGGUAGGACAAGAAGCAAUGAGCUUAAUCUGCAGCAAGGGAGAUUUAGAUUAGAUUUUAGGAAAAAAACUCUCAACUCUCAGGAGAGUUAAAGUGUGGAAUCGGCUUCCAAGGGAAACUGCAGAAUCCCCAUCCUUGGAGGGUUUUAAGAACAGGUUGGACAAACACCUGUCAGGGGUGGUCUAGGUUUACUUGGUCCUCAGCACAAGGGGGAAGGAUGAGAUGACCUCUCGGGGUCCCUUCCACCCUACAUUUCUAUGGUUCCGCAAGAUAAUGAGUGGAAUAGAGGUGGAUUGAGAACUUCUGGUCAUCCUUUGUCAUAGCAGAAGGACAAGGGGAGAUUCAGUGAAAUGGAAAGACAGAAAAUUUAACAUCAAAUGAAAGGCAGGACAUUUUCCUUGCACAACAGAGAAUUAGCCUGUGGGACACACUGGGUGGGAGGAUCCUAAAGGUAACUGAGAGGGAAGUUGUGGGGUAGGGGGAAGGUGUCAGGGACCCUGGAACUGGUGCAGAAGCACACAAUAGCCAUGGAGAUGUGCUCUCAGCAGCUCCCCAGGACCUGCAUGGAUCUCAAGGGGGUUUGAAGGCAGAACACUAUUCAUUUCCUAGAUUCCCAAGCCAGAAGGGACCAUUGUCAUCAUUUGGUCUGACGAUCUUUAUAACAUAGGCCAGAUAAUUCCACCUAGGAUUAGGUAUGGAAGAGAGGCUUGUUCAACCUUUCCUUGAUAGAAUGAUCUUGACAAUUUUCUAUUCUCCCCCAUCCUCCUUGUUCAGUGGGAGUGAUGAUUUGAACCUGGGCAAAUAACCUGACCUAUGACUUACCUCAGCUGGAAGCAGCCUAAAAUCCCUGGGGAGUUCUUCUUUCUGUACUCACAGGAUUUCUCUGCUUGUUUAUCUUUUACAGAGUCUCCGAGUGUCCUGUCACCAUGGAUCUGGCUCUGUUCAUUGUUAGCUAUUCCAUUAUUACUCUUUCUCAUCUGGAAGUGUUGUUCUUUCCCGCUGCUGAGAGGGCAAUCGUCUAAACCGUUACCCAAAACUGAGCCUAGCAAGGAGACACUACUGAAUGAGAUGUAUGAAAAGAGGUUAGAGGACUUCAGAAAGCAUGGACACCAGAAUCCAUCUGCAGACUCCCCCAAGGAGAUGCUCAGAUGCUGUUGAGAAGGAGGGCCACGCCAGAUACACUAAUCCAGCUGGCACAGAACUGAUAGUCCACCCACCUGCCCAAUGCAACUGCGUCACACGUGAUGCAUUUAGGUCACAGGGGAAGAAUGAAAUACACAAAGGCAGCCAGGAGGGAGGUUUGGUGCUGUAACCAGGUGUUAGUUUCAUAGAGAGCUCCCUUGUCUACGAUGCCAAACACUUCAUGUCGAGCACAGCAGUGCUGCGGAUCCAUAGCUCCUAACACAGAUUUUCUUUCCUCUCCCCAAAUAUGAAUCUUCUCUAGAUGAUAGACUUGAACAGACAGUGCUAUGAAGAGGACACCACCUGGUUCCCUGGAGGCUCUCAAGUCAUGACACCAGGUUCUCAUGGUGACACACAGUCUUCCAGCUCCUGGGGUAAAAUACUGUGUUUUUCAUGCUUUGGAGGUUUAUAACCA
Molecule: long non-coding RNA, 1628 nt
Organism: Chrysemys picta bellii (western painted turtle)
Lineage: Eukaryota; Metazoa; Chordata; Testudines; Emydidae
Source: Ensembl